CAGCUCAGCGAUGAGAGUCUUUUGCUCCCCAUCCAUGGCCUUUUCCAUGUACAAAAUGCUGCAAGAACAAUUAUAAUUUAACAAAAGCAAGGAAAUUGAAGUAUUGGAGAAGAACCAAGAAGCAUGGAAGUUGAGCUUGCAGUAUGAGAAGGAUAUGUGGGUAUCCAAGAUUCUCCCACUAAAACAGACCAAACCACCAAAACAUGAGAGUAGAAAUGAUUCCAAAUGACAAGGGUUGAUGGGGGCAAGUGAGAGAGAUAUAAGCCAAGAGAAAGAGAUGACAAAGCUAUUUGAAUGCAAGAAAGGGAGAGGCUUUUCUUAGUAACGAAGCUGUGAGGAACAUGGGAGAUAUAUGAAGGGAAAAGGGGAAGAAAAAGAUAAAUUUU
This 386-nucleotide unclassified non-coding RNA is filed under the name Hevea brasiliensis (rubber tree). Lineage: Eukaryota; Viridiplantae; Streptophyta; Magnoliopsida; Malpighiales; Euphorbiaceae. The record is from RNAcentral.